CAUGGCAAAUGAUGAAAGUCUUAUCCUACACACUGAACAAUGAUGUGGAUUAAUACUCUGCUUAUUGUCUGAUGCCAUU
RNAcentral lists this small nucleolar RNA (79 nucleotides) under Amborella trichopoda. RNAcentral describes it as "Small nucleolar RNA R16". It matches the Rfam family "Small nucleolar RNA R16". From Rfam's summary of the family: snoR16 is a member of the C/D class of snoRNA which contain the C (UGAUGA) and D (CUGA) box motifs. Most of the members of the box C/D family function in directing site-specific 2'-O-methylation of substrate RNAs. The record is from Rfam by way of RNAcentral. Lineage: Eukaryota; Viridiplantae; Streptophyta; Magnoliopsida; Amborellales; Amborellaceae.